This 1059-nucleotide long non-coding RNA is filed under the name Triticum aestivum (bread wheat). RNAcentral describes it as "long non-coding RNA (TAES_LNC005693)". The record is from RNAcentral. Lineage: Eukaryota; Viridiplantae; Streptophyta; Magnoliopsida; Poales; Poaceae.
UCGUUUUUCUCAAUUUUUCCUGGCGGUGGCACUUGAUUGCAGCUCCCCAAGGAGAUCCUGGGGGACGACAAGCCGAAGGACCUGGGAUGCACGUAAUUUAUUGGUUCCUUUCUGGUGUGACUUGUUCUUCUGGUUUGUUGAUUCAAAAUGGGUUGUUUGGUUUUGGAGGAUGGAGGGAUUGAGAGGAAGAUCGCCGAGGUGGAGAUGGACAUUGCCAAGGCGAAGAGCGAGGGGUAUUGUGGGGGAAUGAGGCUGGUGCUGGUACCGGUACCAAGGGUUCCGACAGAAAGAAGUUCGUUGCCCUCAUUUGAGUUUACACUAGCUUUGGCUCACAUAAAAAACACCACCCGAGCACCUCUCGGUGUGCCGUCAUGUUUACAUCUUGAAUAUUUUUCUUGAUUAAGUAAAAAAACUGGUUUAACUCAUUCUUUGUGUUGACAUACACUCACAGUAAGGAUUGAACUCGCGAUGGUAAUGAUGAGUCUGCAAGGUCAAGGUCAUAUGGUCUAAUUACCAAAUCACAGAAAGGAGAGGAGGAAGCUGAGCUCCGCCCUUUUUUCUGUCCAGGAGAGAAGGUUAUUUUUUUUAUUGAAACCUGCACCUUGUAUUGGGUCUGGAGGAAAUUUUUCUCUGUGUCUAUAGUUGUUGUAUCUUAGUACUCCGUAGUGUACUGCCUGUACCAUGGCAUACCAAUUGUUCGGACAGAUCAAAAGGCAUAUAAAUGCUAUUGUACUUCCACAUCUCACAUCUCAUUUACUACCUUGUAUCAGCAUUACUUGAAACACAUUUAUGCAGUCACGCAUCUCACCUUGAUUUUUUUUCUUCUGAAUUUUGCUUGUAUUGGAACUAUAUACAUUUGCACUGUCUAGUUAUGCUCGCUGGUUGAAUUUUCAGCAUUUGAAUCCGCCUCAAAGGAGAAACAAGGCAUUAGCUAGUACCAUAAAUGACAAGAUAGCUUGGCCAUGACUCUAUCAACUUGCCUAGGUCCAAGUCCAACACUCACAAGCUUCUUCAUCUGUAACAAACAUCAAUCUUGGGAGCGUUAGUUGAAGAGCCGGU